Molecule: long non-coding RNA, 952 nt
Organism: Ochotona princeps (American pika)
Lineage: Eukaryota; Metazoa; Chordata; Mammalia; Lagomorpha; Ochotonidae
Exons: 3
Source: RefSeq, a predicted model, not a curated record
CCAGAUUACUUGUACCUCCCCAAAUGAAGAUUGUACAUGCACUAUAGUCUUGGACUGGACUAGCCCUGUAUCUCCCCGCCGCACAACUUUUAUCUGACUCAUUAUUCAUUCUUUCAAAUACUAUUCUGAGCAAACCUUCUCUAGUCCUACUAAUCCUCUCUACUAUUUGUUUUUAAGCAAAUUAAUGGCCUUUUUAUACAGCACGGAACCUAUUUUUAUGCACAUAUGUUUCUUCUAGACCAAGAGCUCCUGGAAAUAGACAUUGCUAUUCAUUUCUAUACUCUUAGAAAUUAAAAAUAGCCAGGAUACCUAGAUAAGGGAGAAAAUAUUCAGUCACUUAAUGUGUCAAACCGCUUCAUAAGCUAGGUACCAUCCUAUGUGUUAAUACAUGGAAGAUAAAUUACUUGCUAUCAUGGAGCUCAUACCUUAGUGGGAAUAUUAUUUUUAAAUAUAUUAAAAGCAUGCUUUCAGGUAGUGUGCUAAAUGAAAGCUGGAGCAUGGCAGAGAGGUGGAGAGUGCUGGGAACACUGUAGAUGAAGAGGUGAAGUGACAGAGAAAGUCUCUGAGCAAGUUUCAUUGGAGCAGUGAUCUGAGGGAGCUAAAAAUGGUCAUGUUUGAAACUGUUUCCCUAAGAAAAAGAGAAAACUGUCCUUUUCCCCUUCAACGUCUUCCUUCUUCAUGAUGGCUGGAAUGCAGACUUAGUGUGUAUCAUGGCACCAUGCAGACAUGCCUCCUAUCUAAAGCUGAUGGAGAAGCAAAAUAAAUGAAAACCACGCCCAUGGUGACAUCACAGUCACAAUACCAGCUAGGAGCCUUUAGGAAUCUAUACUUUAAACAGUCUGUUUCAAAAGCACAUCCCAAGCCCAAUGUAGUGACACUACAGAAGGAAAAGCUCUGGCUCAGUGCUCAGAUGGUGAAAGAACCUGACCUGUUCUUGGGGCUUCUGAGGCGG